AUGCUUUUCAGUUAUUGUUAAUUUAGCUGGCGCGUCAAGAGUUUGCAAGUUAUAAAUAUAUUUUGUUUAUGCUUAGGACUACCAGUACUCAUCCGGGUGACCAUUUGGACUUAAUUAAGAAGCCAUUAAUUAAUCAGCAACGCAGCAUUUGCUCCAGUGAAAGUGAAAGAAUUUUAAUGUUUACUUAUCUAAAAUACAGGAUAAAACGUGCAGGACUACUACUUAACUAAUGAAAUGAAGAGACUUCCAGUUAUCGUCGCUAUAUGUUAAAUAAAUAAAUUUAAAAAAAUUGCAAAUCAACUGAUUUACCAAUCUCCAAUUUUCAUAAGUGCGCCCGUUCAUAAGCUUCGCCCUGAAUGGAAAGCAUCAGGAACAAAUACGACAACAGCGAGUUAUCCGCUCAAAACGCCUUCUAAACAAAAUUAAACACCCCGAAGCGCCUGAGAACACCGAAUUUAAGACCGCGUAGCUCCCCACACCUUCGUCACCUGGAUUACUACAAACGGGGCUUAGUUGAGCCUGAAACCACUAAGCAUUGUUAUUGCAUCAUUUCUUCUCUGAAGGCUGCAAUUAAUACCGUUAUGGUCAAUGUGAAUAAGGAGCAUUUGAUUCGGGCAAACAAUCGUUUCCGGACCCGAAUCGAAGUUAUUGCAGCUAAUAGAAAUUUUAUU
Molecule: long non-coding RNA, 671 nt
Organism: Anastrepha ludens (Mexican fruit fly)
Lineage: Eukaryota; Metazoa; Arthropoda; Insecta; Diptera; Tephritidae
Exons: 3
Source: RefSeq, a predicted model, not a curated record